This 3065-nucleotide long non-coding RNA is filed under the name Homo sapiens (human). RNAcentral's name for it is "HSALNT0140594". Lineage: Eukaryota; Metazoa; Chordata; Mammalia; Primates; Hominidae. The record is from RNAcentral.
GCUUUUGAGGCUUGAUUGUUUACUCACACAGAAUAGUUUUUCGGAUCAUAGAUGCAAACUCUUCAAGGGAAGGACUUUCUGAAUUAUCUUUAUACUCCCAGGACUUGGCAGAGAAGCCAGCACAGAAUUUAACAAAGUUGUGCUGGCUCAUGCCUGUAACCCUAGCACUUUGAGAGGCCAUGGUGGGAGGAUGGCUUGAGGCCAGGAGUUCGAGACAAAGGUGUGCUGCAUGAAAGAAUGGUAGUCAGUCUUCCUGUGUGAUGCUGAGGGAACAUUUUGUUCCACAACAGCCACCCAUAUAACAGACAUGGAGCAGUUUCCACCGGAUGAACUUAGACAAGUCAUCAGCUGCUAACGAGGCACCAGGGAAGUCCCAGUCAUAUCUACAUUUGCCUUCAGAUAACCUUUACGGGUUUGGAAAUUGCCAUGAUGAAAAUAGCAGAGUCGUACUGAGGUUGGGAGUUUGACCUGUCUAUUCAGGUGAAAACCACAAUGUCAAGAAGGAAAUGUUGGCAGCUAUGUGAAAGCACCAAAAACCAAUGAGUUGCGCGUCUUCAAUGGAUGAAGUAUACAGUAUGUCAAUUUUAUCUCUAUAAAGCUGCUACCAAAAAAAAGAAGGAAGUGUUUUUAAGGCAAAGAUCUGGUGACACAGAGGCUAUGCAGUAGCUAAGAGACUUUGUUUGUAUAUGUCUUGGUUAAGUUUGUCUGCACAAAAUGUGAAGCCAAGGUUUACUCAUUGAUCGAUCUGUUUAACAUCUGGACUCGGACAUGCAAGUGCUGUGAUAAGAGAGUUUGUAGAAGUAAAAUCACAAAACCACGUGAUCCUUGGUGCUGGGGACAGAGAAUAUAAUCUGCACAUGAAAAGCUGAUGAAAUGUAAACAUCCGAAACUGGGGGGGACCCAAAGCCAAGGUCAGUUCAUACAAAUAGGCCAGGCCAGGCAUGGUGGCUCAUGCCUAUAAUCCCAGCACUUUGGGAGGGCAAGGCGAGAGGAUCACUUGAGCCCAGGAAUUCGAGACCAGCCUGAGCAACAUAGUGGGAUCUCAUCCCUACAAAAAGUAAAAAAAAUAAAAAUAACAGCCUGGCAUGGUGGUAUGCACCUGUAGUCCCAACUACUCAGGAGGCUGAGGUGGGAGGAUCACUUGAGCCCAGGAGGUAGAGGCUGCAGUGAGCCAUGAAUGUGCCACUGCACUCCAGCCUAGGAAACAAAGCAAGACUGUCUCUAAAAAAAAAACAAAAAAAACAAAAAGCAACAACAAAAAAAUUGGCCAAUGCUAAGUCAGGGAUUCAAAAUAUUCAACCACCUUUGGAACUGGACUUUCUGAGGGUGUUUUAGUUGUCAAUUAGGCAAAUGGAGUCUUAUCUGUUUGUCCUCUUCCCCUUCCAAGAACCCAUUGACCUCCUUCCUCCUCUUCAAGCCUUGAGUACCUAGUAUGUAGGUAGCCAGGACAGCUGUAAUUUGAUAUGUGAAUGUGUUUCCUCCUUUACAUCCUGGGAGAUUGUUAUGGUUACUGCUGCUCUCAAAGACAGGAAUUGAAAUGCAGCUUGGUUGGACUGGAGAGUCUCAGAGUGAGGAUUCCUGAGGUCAAGUGCCAGCCCCAUCACUCACAGGUUAUGUGACCUGAGUAAGUCAUUGGAUACUUCUUGAUCCCAUCCCUUCUCAGGUACUCAGGCUUUGCUACCGCAAUCACCCCCUCUUUCCCGCAGCCAUUUUCAGCUUCUCUGCCAUAUCAUUCUUACCAGCAAUACCAGUAGUUGUAAUUCCUCCCAUAGUAAAAGCCCAAAGUAAAGACAAAACCUCCCUGUCUUCCCAUUCACAUCUAGUUCCACUUUGAUCUUUUGCUUUCCUUUACAACAAAAUUUCUAAGAAAAUAAUUGCUUAGUGUUAUGGGCUGAAUUGUGUGCCUCGCAAAUUCAUAUGUUGAAGCCCUAAUCUCUAGCACUUCAGAAUGUGACUAUACAUGACUGGGCGCAGUGGCUCACGCCUGUAAUCCCAGUACUUCGGGAGGCUGAGGCUGUCAGAUCACCUGAGGUCAGGAGUUUGAGGCCAGCCUGGUCAAUACGGUAAAACCCUGUCUCUACAUGGUGGCGUGUGCCUGUAAUCCCAGGUACUCAGGAGACUGAGGCAGGAGAAUUGCUUGAACCCAGAAGGCGGAGGCUGCAGUGAGCUGAGAUCAUGCCACUGCACUCUAGCCUGAGCGACAGAGCAAGACUCCAUCUCAAAAAAAAAAAAAAAAAAAAAAAAAAAAAAGAAUGUGACUAUGUGUGGAGAUAGGGCUUUGAGACAGGUGAUCAACAGGUCAUUAGGGUGGCCCCUAAUCCCGUAUGACUAGUGUCCUUACGAGAAGAGGAGAUUAGGAUGCAGACAAACACAGGCAGAGCAUGUGGGCACACAGGGAGAAGACAGCCAUCCACAAGCCAAGGAGAGAGGCCUCAGCAGAAACCAGCCCUGACAACACAUUGAUUUUGGAUUUCCAGCCUCCAGAACUAUCAAGAAAAUACCUUUCUGUUCUGUAAGAUGCCCAAUCUGCAGUUCUUAGUUAUGGCAGCUCCAGAAGUAAAUACAUUUAGACCUUCUAUGUCUGCUUCCUCACCUCCAGUCUCUCUUUCUUGUGAUUUUCCUCCUUCUUUUUAACCUACUCCAGUCAGGACUCCAUGGCCACCAACCACUCCUCACGAACUGCCUGUGCCGAAGUCACCACUGACCACCAUCUGUUGUGCUGGACUCCUGCUGACUCCAGUAGGGCUGGCACCAUGUCAGAAAGGCCGAAGAAGAGACCUGGAGACAACAAACGAGACAUAGGGUUUGUUGGAUGGAUUUACAAACAGGGAUGGUCCAAUGGCGGUGAGCUGGACAGGAGCACCACCACCAUUUGUAAAAAGCAUGCAGUUUGUAUGGCAUUUUCACUUAGCAACCUCCACCUAGCAGCAACCUUCAUUUAACCCCAAACAAAGAGCCUCUUUCCCCUGUACAACCCUCAUUCCAAGAGGUGGCCCGGGGGUUCAGAUGUCCUUCAUGAAUAAUGAGUGAAUUUCUGGGUUGGCCGCUUCCACGUUCCUCAGCUC